This 234-nucleotide ribosomal RNA is filed under the name uncultured Actinomycetales bacterium. Its description in RNAcentral is "partial 16S ribosomal RNA". It matches the Rfam family "Bacterial small subunit ribosomal RNA", at positions 97 to 334 of the family's 1533-position model. The record is from RNAcentral. Lineage: Bacteria; Bacillati; Actinomycetota; Actinomycetes; Actinomycetales.
GGCGAACGGGUGAGUAACACGUGGGUGAUCUGCCUUGCACUCUGGGAUAAGCUUGGGAAACUGGGUCUAAUACCGGAUAGGAGCCGUCUUUAGUGUGGUGGUUGGAAAGUUUUUUCGGUGCAAGAUGAGCUCGCGGCCUAUCAGCUUGUUGGUGGGGUAAUGGCCUACCAAGGCGUCGACGGGUAGCCGGCCUGAGAGGGUGUACGGCCACAUUGGGACUGAGAUACGGCCCAG